UACGUAGGGUGCGAGCGUUGUCCGGAAUUAUUGGGCGUAAAGGGCUCGUAGGCGGUUUGUCGCGUCGGGAGUGAAAACACUGGGCUUAACUCAGUGCUUGCUUCCGAUACGGGCAGACUAGAGGUAUGCAGGGGAGAACGGAAUUCCUGGUGUAGCGGUGAAAUGCGCAGAUAUCAGGAGGAACACCGGUGGCGAAGGCGGGUCUCUGGGCAGUACCUGACGCUGAGGAGCGAAAGUGUGGGGAGCGAACAGG
RNAcentral lists this ribosomal RNA (253 nucleotides) under uncultured bacterium. Its description in RNAcentral is "partial 16S ribosomal RNA". It matches the Rfam family "Bacterial small subunit ribosomal RNA", at positions 524 to 776 of the family's 1533-position model. The record is from RNAcentral.